CCCGGGUCCAAAGAUAACGUUGAAGCGUGAAGGUUGGCUUCCGACCUUGCUCUAGACAGAGCUGUAGGUAGGUGCGAUGAUGGGCCUUGAUAAGUGGUGCUCGACACGUUUCCGGAAGGCGGUCCAGGUCGAAGUUCCAAGCAAGAGCUGUCCAUGCUUCUAGUCUUCCUCAAUUGCGAGCUCAUCGUAAGCUCCGAGCCGCCAUUUUCUUCGUCCUCGGGCCAAAAUGAAACUUGCUAAACAACAAUAAGGAAAGAAACGAAACUCCGGGUCUCGUCGCUCCUCUUGCACGUUUAGAAUCGUCCACGUAAGCACUAUUUACUACUUCGCAAAGCUACAUAUAAAUUCGGAAGAAAACACGGGAUAACAAUGAGAUACUCCCAGCAUCGCUCACCCUAAGUCUGGAGGCGAACAUAUCUUCCACGGAUUGGGGCAAGUAUUCCCUGGUAGCAGCUACCUCGCGCCACUUAUCAACCGAGGGAUGAAGAGCAGCUAACGUGAACUCAUGAAAACUCGCAUAAUGUUUCGCCAAGGAGCAUUGUCGCUCGAGAACAAAGCCGUACCUCCUUCGUUCCUGCGUCAUCGCCUGGAAAAAAAGGGUUAAGGGCCUCGAAUCCAAGUCAUGCAUUGUCGUUAGCCUGCUUUUUCCGACCGAUUCAUUAUUCAAUCACCAUCGAGCCACGACAUUGCCUUUUUCACGCCAAAAUUAAUGACCGAUGGACGACCGGCGGACCUUCGUUCAAACAUUUUUCAUGAGAGCAGAAAAACGGAAGCUGGGUACUUUAUUUAGGUUAUUUAAAAAAAAGAAAGUUAUUUAUACUUGAAAAUAAACUGAAGGCACAGCCAUUGGUCACCCCACUGUAACCGGCUCCACUACUCUACGUGCAUCAUUAUGGAUUCUGCCUUCGUGUAACAUAAGAGAAAAAUAAAGUACAAAAUUAUA
This is a non-coding RNA of Megalopta genalis, 943 nucleotides long. The record is from RefSeq and is a predicted model, not a curated record. NCBI's taxonomy places the organism in Eukaryota, Metazoa, Arthropoda, Insecta, Hymenoptera, Halictidae.